This 395-nucleotide ribosomal RNA is filed under the name uncultured bacterium. RNAcentral's name for it is "bacterial SSU rRNA". It matches the Rfam family "Bacterial small subunit ribosomal RNA", at positions 30 to 425 of the family's 1533-position model. The record is from RNAcentral.
AUUGAACGCUGGCGGCAGGCCUAACACAUGCAAGUCGAGCGGAUGAAAGGGGCUUGCUCCUGGAUUCAGCGGCGGACGGGUGAGUAAUGCGCAGGAAUCUACCUAGUAGUGGGGGAUAACGUUUCGAAGGAACGCUAAUACCGCAUACGUUCUGAGGAAGAAAGCAGGGGAGUCGUAAGACCUUGCGCUAUUAGAUGAGCUUGCGUCCGAUUAGCUAGUUGGUGGGGUAAAGGCCUACCAAGGCGACGAUCGGUAACUGGUCUGAGAGGAUGAUCAGUCACACUGGAACUGAGACACGGUCCAGACUCCUACGGGAGGCAGCAGUGGGGAAUAUUGGACAAUGGGGGCGAACCCUGAUCCAGCCAUGCCGCGUGUGUGAAGAAGGCCUUCGGUUG